This 497-nucleotide ribosomal RNA is filed under the name uncultured bacterium. RNAcentral's name for it is "partial 16S ribosomal RNA". It matches the Rfam family "Bacterial small subunit ribosomal RNA", at positions 28 to 507 of the family's 1533-position model. The record is from RNAcentral.
GAUGAACGCUGGCGGCGUGCCUAAUACAUGCAAGUCGAGCGAACAGACGAGGAGCUUGCUCCUCUGACGUUAGCGGCGGACGGGUGAGUAACACGUGGAUAACCUACCUAUAAGACUGGGAUAACUUCGGGAAACCGGAGCUAAUACCGGAUAAUAUAUUGAACCGCAUGGUUCAAUAGUGAAAGACGGUUUUGCUGUCACUUAUAGAUGGAUCCGCGCCGCAUUAGCUAGUUGGUAAGGUAACGGCUUACCAAGGCAACGAUGCGUAGCCGACCUGAGAGGGUGAACGGCCAAACUGGAACUGAGAAACGGUCCAGACCCCUAAGGGAGGGAGCAGUAGGGAAUCUUCCGGAAUGGGCGAAAGCCUGACGGAGCAACGCCGCGUGAGUGAUGAAGGUCUUCGGAUCGUAAAACUCUGUUAUUAGGGAAGAACAAAUGUGUAAGUAACUAUGCACGUCUUGACGGUACCUAAUCAGAAAGCCACGGCUAACUACGUG